Molecule: ribosomal RNA, 432 nt
Filed under: uncultured bacterium
Lineage: Bacteria
Description: bacterial SSU rRNA
Rfam family: Bacterial small subunit ribosomal RNA
Source: RNAcentral
UCAGGCCUAACACAUGCAAGUCGAACGGCAGCACGGGUGCUUGCACCUGGUGGCGAGUGGCGAACGGGUGAGUAAUACAUCGGAACGUACCUUAUCGUGGGGGAUAACGCAGCGAAAGUUGCGCUAAUACCGCAUACGCCCUGAGGGGGAAAGCGGGGGACCGUAAGGCCUCGCGCGAUUAGAGCGGCCGAUGUCUGAUUAGCUUGUUGGUGAGGUAAAAGCUCACCAAGGCGAUGAUCAGUAGCUGGUCUGAGAGGACGAUCAGCCACACUGGGACUGAGACACGGCCCAGACUCCUACGGGAGGCAGCAGUGGGGAAUUUUGGACAAUGGGGGCAACCCUGAUCCAGCAAUGCCGCGUGAGUGAAGAAGGCCUUCGGGUUGUAAAGCUCUUUUGUCAGGGAAGAAACAGCAGCUCUAACACAGUUUGCGA